Molecule: transfer RNA, 72 nt
Organism: Camelus ferus (Wild Bactrian camel)
Lineage: Eukaryota; Metazoa; Chordata; Mammalia; Artiodactyla; Camelidae
Rfam family: tRNA
About the family: Transfer RNA (tRNA) molecules are approximately 80 nucleotides in length. Their secondary structure includes four short double-helical elements and three loops (D, anti-codon, and T loops).
Source: Rfam
GUGGGUAGAGCUCACUGGCAGAGCACGUGCUUAGCGUGCAUAAGGUCCUGGAUUCAAUCCCCAGUACCUCCA